UACAGAGGUCUCAAGCGUUGUUCGGAUUCAUUGGGCGUAAAGGGUGCGUAGGCGGCGGGGCAAGUCUGGUGUGAAAUCCCGGGGCUCAACUCCGGAACUGCACUGGAUACUGCCUUGCUAGAGUACUGGAGAGGGAACUGGAAUUUACGGUGUAGCAGUGAAAUGCGUAGAGAUCGUAAGGAAGGCCAGUGGCGAAGGCGAGUUCCUGGACAGUUACUGACGCUGAGGCACGAAGGCCAGGGGAGCAAACGGG
Molecule: ribosomal RNA, 253 nt
Filed under: uncultured bacterium
Lineage: Bacteria
Description: partial 16S ribosomal RNA
Rfam family: Bacterial small subunit ribosomal RNA
Source: RNAcentral